GAUGAACGCUGGCGGCGUGCCUAAUACAUGCAAGUCGAGCGAACGGACGAGAAGCUUGCUUCUCUGAUGUUAGCGGCGGACGGGUGAGUAACACGUGGAUAACCUACCUAUAAGACUGGGAUAACUUCGGGAAACCGGAGCUAAUACCGGAUAAUAUUUUGAACCGCAUGGUUCAAAAGUGAAAGACGGUCUUGCUGUCACUUAUAGAUGGAUCCGCGCUGCAUUAGCUAGUUGGUAAGGUAACGGCUUACCAAGGCAACGAUGCAUAGCCGACCUGAGAGGGUGAUCGGCCACACUGGAACUGAGACACGGUCCAGACUCCUACGGGAGGCAGCAGUAGGGAAUCUUCCGCAAUGGGCGAAAGCCUGACGGAGCAACGCCGCGUGAGUGAUGAAGGUCUUCGGAUCGUAAAACUCUGUUAUUAGGGAAGAACAUAUGUGUAAGUAACUGUGCACAUCUUGACGGUACCUAAUCAGAAAGCCACGGCUAACUACGUGCCAGCAGCCGCGGUAAUACGUAGGUGGCAAGCGUUAUCCGGAAUUAUUGGGCGUAAAGCGCGCGUAGGCGGUUUUUUAAGUCUGAUGUGAAAACCCACGGCUCAACCGUGGAGGGUCAUUGGAAACUGGAAAACUUGAGUGCAGAAGAGGAAAGUGGAAUUCCAUGUGUAGCGGUGAAAUGCGCAGAGAUAUGGAGGAACACCAGUGGCGAAGGCGACUUUCUGGUCUGUAACUGACGCUGAUGUGCGAAAGCGUGGGGAUCAAACAGGAUUAGAUACCCUGGUAGUCCACGCCGUAAACGAUGAGUGCUAAGUGUUAGGGGGUUUCCGCCCCUUAGUGCUGCAGCUAACGCAUUAAGCACUCCGCCUGGGGAGUACGACCGCAAGGUUGAAACUCAAAGGAAUUGACGGGGACCCGCACAAGCGGUGGAGCAUGUGGUUUAAUUCGAAGCAACGCGAAGAACCUUACCAAAUCUUGACAUCCUUUGACAACUCUAGAGAUAGAGCUUUCCCCUUCGGGGGACAAAGUGACAGGUGGUGCAUGGUUGUCGUCAGCUCGUGUCGUGAGAUGUUGGGUUAAGUCCCGCAACGAGCUCAACCCUUAAGCUUAGUUGCCAUCAUUAAGUUGGGCACUCUAAGUUGACUGCCGGUGACAAACCGGAGGAAGGUGGGGAUGACGUCAAAUCAUCAUGCCCCUUAUGAUUUGGGCUACACACGUGCUACAAUGGACAAUACAAAGGGCAGCGAAACCGCGAGGUCAAGCAAAUCCCAUAAAGUUGUUCUCAGUUCGGAUUGUAGUCUGCAACUCGACUACAUGAAGCUGGAAUCGCUAGUAAUCGUAGAUCAGCAUGCUACGGUGAAUACGUUCCCGGGUCU
Molecule: ribosomal RNA, 1372 nt
Filed under: uncultured bacterium
Lineage: Bacteria
Description: bacterial SSU rRNA
Rfam family: Bacterial small subunit ribosomal RNA
Source: RNAcentral